RNAcentral lists this ribosomal RNA (438 nucleotides) under Triticum aestivum (bread wheat). RNAcentral describes it as "partial small subunit ribosomal RNA". Lineage: Eukaryota; Viridiplantae; Streptophyta; Magnoliopsida; Poales; Poaceae. The record is from RNAcentral.
AUGCUUAAGAUUGAUCUUGCAAAGGCUUUUGAUCGCUAUGAAUGGAAUUUUAUUGUUUACGCUCUGUCAAGUAAAGGGCUCCAUGGUCAUUUCAUUAAUUUGGUCUAUGCAUUCAUUUCUUCUCCCACGUUCUCUAUGCUCAUUAAUGGCCAGCCUUCUCAAAAGUUUAAAAGUUUCCGUGGAAUCCAACAAGGCUGUCCUAUGUCUCCUUACUUAUUCGUCCUUGCUAUUAAUGAACUUUCAAUUAUGCUCAAUGAAGCUUUGCAGGCUAGUCAUUUAAGGGAAAUUUCUCUUGGUCCAAAUUGCCCUUCUGUGCAUUCCCUCCUUUUUGCAAAUGAUCUUUUGGUUUGCGGGCAAGCUACUUUUCAGGAAGCUCAGACUAUGGCUAACUUGAUUCAACACUUUUGUGAUCUUUCUGGUCAAACCCCUAAUUGGAAU